GGGAAUGUAGCUUAGUGGUAGAGUGCUUGCCUAGCAUGCAUGAAGCCCUGGGUUCAAUUCUCAGUACCA
This 69-nucleotide transfer RNA is filed under the name Dipodomys ordii (Ord's kangaroo rat). It matches the Rfam family "tRNA". Rfam says of the family: Transfer RNA (tRNA) molecules are approximately 80 nucleotides in length. Their secondary structure includes four short double-helical elements and three loops (D, anti-codon, and T loops). Further hydrogen bonds mediate the characteristic L-shaped molecular structure. tRNAs have two regions of fundamental functional importance: the anti-codon, which is responsible for specific mRNA codon recognition, and the 3' end, to which the tRNAs corresponding amino acid is attached (by aminoacyl-tRNA synthetases). tRNAs cope with the degeneracy of the genetic code in two manners: having more than one tRNA (with a specific anti-codon) for a particular amino acid; and 'wobble' base-pairing, i.e. permitting non-standard base-pairing at the 3rd anti-codon position. The record is from Rfam by way of RNAcentral. Lineage: Eukaryota; Metazoa; Chordata; Mammalia; Rodentia; Heteromyidae.